RNAcentral lists this ribosomal RNA (252 nucleotides) under uncultured bacterium. Its description in RNAcentral is "partial 16S ribosomal RNA". It matches the Rfam family "Bacterial small subunit ribosomal RNA", at positions 524 to 776 of the family's 1533-position model. The record is from RNAcentral.
UACGGAGGAUGCGGGCGUUAUCCGGAUUUAUUGGGUUUAAAGGGUGCGUAGGCGGACGCUUAAGUCAGCGGUAAAAUUGCGGGGCUCAACCUCGUCGAGCCGUUGAAACUGGGUGCCUUGAGUGGGCGAGAAGUACGCGGAAUGCGUGGUGUAGCGGUGAAAUGCAUAGAUAUCACGCAGAACUCCGAUUGCGAAGGCAGCGUACCGGCGCCCUACUGACGCUGAAGCACGAAGGCGUGGGUAUCGAACAGG